Molecule: ribosomal RNA, 492 nt
Filed under: uncultured bacterium
Lineage: Bacteria
Description: partial 16S ribosomal RNA
Rfam family: Bacterial small subunit ribosomal RNA
Source: RNAcentral
AGUGAACGCUGGCGGUAGGCCUAACACAUGCAAGUCGAACGGCAGCACAGUAAGAGCUUGCUCUUACGGGUGGCGAGUGGCGGACGGGUGAGGAAUACAUCGGAAUCUACUUUUUCGUGGGGGAUAACGUAGGGAAACUUACUCUAAUACCGCAUACGACCUACGGGUGAAAGCAGGGGAUCUUCGGACCUUGCGCGAUUGAAUGAGCCGAUGUCGGAUUAGCUAGUUGGCGGGGUAAAGGCCCACCAAGGCGACGAUCCGUAGCUGGUCUGAGAGGAUGAUCAGCCACACUGGAACUGAGACACGGUCCAGACUCCUACGGGAGGCAGCAGUGGGGAAUAUUGGACAAUGGGCGCAAGCAUGAUACAGCCAUACCGCGUGGGUGAAGAAGGCCUUCGGGUUGUAAAGCCCUUUUGUUGGGAAAGAAAAGCAGCAGGUUAAUACCCCGCUGUUCUGACGGUACCCAAAGAAUAAGCACCGGCUAACUUCGUG